This 449-nucleotide ribosomal RNA is filed under the name uncultured bacterium. RNAcentral's name for it is "partial 16S ribosomal RNA". It matches the Rfam family "Bacterial small subunit ribosomal RNA", at positions 354 to 796 of the family's 1533-position model. The record is from RNAcentral.
GUCGAGAAUCUUUCACAAUGGGGGCAACCCUGAUGGAGCGACGCCGCGUGGAGGAUAAGGUCUUCGGAUUGUAAACUCCUGUCAUGCGUGAACAAGGUUGCUUGGAUAAUACCUGAGCAAAUUGAUGGUAGCGCAAGAGGAAGAGACGGCUAACUCUGUGCCAGCAGCCGCGGUAAUACAGAGGUCUCAAGCGUUGUUCGGAAUCACUGGGCGUAAAGGGUGCGUAGGUGGCGUGGCAAGUCAGAUGUGAAAGCCCGGGGCUCAACCUCGGAACUGCAUCCGAUACUGCCAUGCUAGAGUACUGGAGGGGUGACUAGAAUUCUCGGUGUAGCAGUGAAAUGCGUAGAUAUCGAGAGGAAUACCAAAGGCGUAGGCAGGUCACUGGACAGUUACUGACACUGAGGCACGAAGGCCAGGGGAGCGAACGGGAUUAGAAACCCCAGUAGUCC